This 654-nucleotide ribosomal RNA is filed under the name uncultured Latescibacterota bacterium. RNAcentral describes it as "bacterial SSU rRNA". It matches the Rfam family "Bacterial small subunit ribosomal RNA", at positions 273 to 916 of the family's 1533-position model. The record is from RNAcentral. Lineage: Bacteria; Pseudomonadati; Candidatus Latescibacterota.
GCUGCGAUGGGUAGCCGACCUGAGAGGGUGACCGGCGUCACUGGGACUGAGAUACGGCCCAGACUCCUACGGGAGGCAGCAGUCGAGAAGCUUCGGCAAUGGGGGAAACCCUGACCGAGCGACGCCGCGUGAGCGAUGAAGGCCCUAGUGGUUGUAAAGCUCUGUCAGAUUGGGAAUAAAUGCCGGGGGCGAAUAACCCCUGGAGCUGAAGGUACCGUCAGAGGAAGCACCGGCUAACUCCGUGCCAGCAGCCGCGGUAAUACGGAGGGUGCAAGCGUUGUUCGGAUUCACUGGGUAUAAAGGGUGCGUAGGCGGCCUUGUAAGUCAGAGGUGAAAGCUGCCGGCUUAACUGGCAAAUUGCCUUUGAAACUGCGAGGCUUGAGUCCGGGAGAGGAAGGCGGAAUUCCUGGUGUAGCGGUGAAAUGCGUAAAUAUCAGGAGGAACACCGGUGGCGAAGGCGGCCUUCUGGUCCGGUACUGACGCUGAGGCACGAAAGCCAGGGGAGCAAACGGGAUUAGAUACCCCGGUAGUCCUGGCCGUAAACGAUGGGCACUAGGUGUUGGAGGAGUCUACCCCUUCAGUGCCGUAGCUAAUGCAUUAAGUGCCCCACCUGGGGAGUACGGUCGCAAGGCUGAAACUCAAAUGAAUUGACGG